RNAcentral lists this ribosomal RNA (1438 nucleotides) under uncultured organism. Its description in RNAcentral is "SSU rRNA". It matches the Rfam family "Bacterial small subunit ribosomal RNA". The record is from RNAcentral.
UACAGGCUUAACACAUGCAAGUCGAGGGGCAGCAUGGUCUUAGCUUGCUAAGGCCGAUGGCGACCGGCGCACGGGUGAGUAACACGUAUCCAACCUGCCGUCUACUCUUGGACAGCCUUCUGAAAGGAAGAUUAAUACAAGAUGGCAUCAUGAGUCCGCAUGUUCACAUGAUUAAAGGUAUUCCGGUAGACGAUGGGGAUGCGUUCCAUUAGAUAGUAGGCGGGGUAACGGCCCACCUAGUCUUCGAUGGAUAGGGGUUCUGAGAGGAAGGUCCCCCACAUUGGAACUGAGACACGGUCCAAACUCCUACGGGAGGCAGCAGUGAGGAAUAUUGGUCAAUGGGCGAGAGCCUGAACCAGCCAAGUAGCGUGAAGGAUGACUGCCCUAUGGGUUGUAAACUUCUUUUAUAAAGGAAUAAAGUCGGGUAUGCAUACCCGUUUGCAUGUACUUUAUGAAUAAGGAUCGGCUAACUCCGUGCCAGCAGCCGCGGUAAUACGGAGGAUCCGAGCGUUAUCCGGAUUUAUUGGGUUUAAAGGGAGCGUAGAUGGAUGUUUAAGUCAGUUGUGAAAGUUUGCGGCUCAACCGUAAAAUUGCAGUUGAUACUGGAUAUCUUGAGUGCAGUUGAGGCAGGCGGAAUUCGUGGUGUAGCGGUGAAAUGCUUAGAUAUCACGAAGAACUCCGAUUGCGAAGGCAGCCUGCUAAGCUGCAACUGACAUUGAGGCUCGAAAGUGUGGGUAUCAAACAGGAUUAGAUACCCUGGUAGUCCACACGGUAAACGAUGAAUACUCGCUGUUUGCGAUAUACGGCAAGCGGCCAAGCGAAAGCGUUAAGUAUUCCACCUGGGGAGUACGCCGGCAACGGUGAAACUCAAAGGAAUUGACGGGGGCCCGCACAAGCGGAGGAACAUGUGGUUUAAUUCGAUGAUACGCGAGGAACCUUACCCGGGCUUAAAUUGCAGAUGAAUUACGGUGAAAGCCGUAAGCCGCAAGGCAUCUGUGAAGGUGCUGCAUGGUUGUCGUCAGCUCGUGCCGUGAGGUGUCGGCUUAAGUGCCAUAACGAGCGCAACCCUUGUUGUCAGUUACUAACAGGUUCCGCUGAGGACUCUGACAAGACUGCCAUCGUAAGAUGUGAGGAAGGUGGGGAUGACGUCAAAUCAGCACGGCCCUUACGUCCGGGGCUACACACGUGUUACAAUGGGGGGUACAGAGGGCCGCUACCACGCGAGUGGAUGCCAAUCCCCAAAACCUCUCUCAGUUCGGACUGGAGUCUGCAACCCGACUCCACGAAGCUGGAUUCGCUAGUAAUCGCGCAUCAGCCACGGCGCGGUGAAUACGUUCCCGGGCCUUGUACACACCGCCCGUCAAGCCAUGGGAGCCGGGGGUACCUGAAGUGCGUAACCGCGAGGAGCGCCCUAGGGUAAAACUGGUGACUGGGGCUA